GCAAUGCCGCGUGCAGGAUGAAGGCCUUCGGGUUGUAAACUGCUUUUGGACGGAACGAAACGGCGAGCUCUAAUACAGGUUGCUAAUGACGGUACCGUAAGAAUAAGCACCGGCUAACUACGUGCCAGCAGCCGCGGUAAUACGUAGGGUGCGAGCGUUAAUCGGAAUUACUGGGCGUAAAGCGUGCGCAGGCGGUGAUGUAAGACAGAUGUGAAAUCCCCGGGCUCAACCUGGGACCUGCAUUUGUGACUGCAUCGCUAGAGUACGGUAGAGGGGGAUGGAAUUCCGCGUGUAGCAGUGAAAUGCGUAGAUAUGCGGAGGAACACCGAUGGCGAAGGCAAUCCCCUGGACCUGUACUGACGCUCAUGCACGAAAGCGUGGGGAGCAAACAGGAUUAAAUACCCUGGUAGUCCAGGCCCUAAACGAUGUCUACUGGUUGUUGGGUCUUCACUGACUCACUAAAGA
This 465-nucleotide ribosomal RNA is filed under the name Comamonadaceae bacterium. RNAcentral's name for it is "bacterial SSU rRNA". It matches the Rfam family "Bacterial small subunit ribosomal RNA", at positions 391 to 849 of the family's 1533-position model. Lineage: Bacteria; Pseudomonadati; Pseudomonadota; Betaproteobacteria; Burkholderiales; Comamonadaceae. The record is from RNAcentral.